UACGGAGGAUGCAAGCGUUAUCCGGAUUCAUUGGGUUUAAAGGGUGCGUAGGCGGACUAUUAAGUCAGUGGUGAAAGCCUGCAGCUUAACUGCAGAACUGCCAUUGAUACUGAUAGUCUUGAGUUUGGUUAAGGUAGGCGGAAUGUGUAAUGUAGCGGUGAAAUGCUUAGAUAUUACACAGAACACCAAUUGCGUAGGCAGCUUACUGAGCCGGCACUGACGCUGAGGCACGAAAGCGUGGGGAUCGAACAGGA
RNAcentral lists this ribosomal RNA (254 nucleotides) under uncultured prokaryote. RNAcentral describes it as "partial 16S ribosomal RNA". It matches the Rfam family "Bacterial small subunit ribosomal RNA", at positions 524 to 777 of the family's 1533-position model. The record is from RNAcentral.